GAUGAACGCUGGCGGCGUGCUUAACACAUGCAAGUCGAACGGCGAACACGGAGCUUGCUCUGUGGGAUCAGUGGCGAACGGGUGAGUAACACGUGAGCAACCUGCCCCUGACUCUGGGAUAAGCGCUGGAAACGGCGCCUAAUACUGGAUAUGUGACGUGACCGCAUGGUCUGCGUUUGGAAAGCUUUUUUGGUUGGGGAUGGGCUCGCGGCCUAUCAGCUUGUUGGUGAGGUAAUGGCUCACCAAGGCGUCGACGGGUAGCCGGCCUGGGGGGGUGACCGGCCACACGGGGACUGAGAGACGGCCCAGACGCCUACGGGGGGCAGCAGUGGGGAAUAUUGCACAAUGGGCGCAAGCCUGAUGCAGCGACGCCGCGUGAGGGAUGACGGCCUUCGGGUUGUAAACCUCUUUUAGCAGGGAAGAAGCGAAAGUGACGGUACCUGCAGAAAAAGCGCCGGCUAACUACGUG
This 469-nucleotide ribosomal RNA is filed under the name uncultured bacterium. Its description in RNAcentral is "partial 16S ribosomal RNA". It matches the Rfam family "Bacterial small subunit ribosomal RNA", at positions 28 to 507 of the family's 1533-position model. The record is from RNAcentral.